Molecule: ribosomal RNA, 301 nt
Filed under: uncultured bacterium
Lineage: Bacteria
Description: partial 16S ribosomal RNA
Rfam family: Bacterial small subunit ribosomal RNA
Source: RNAcentral
CAGUCGCCGCGGUAAUACGUAGGUGGCAAGCGUUGUCCGGAAUUAUUGGGCGUAAAGGGCUCGCAGGCGGUUUCUUAAGUCUGAUGUGAAAGCCCCCGGCUCAACCGGGGAGGGUCAUUGGAAACUGGGAAACUUGAGUGCAGAAGAGGAGAGUGGAAUUCCACGUGUAGCGGUGAAAUGCGUAGAGAUGUGGAGGAACACCAGUGGCGAAGGCGACUCUCUGGUCUGUAAUUGACGCUGAGGAGCGAAAGCGUGGGGAGCGAACAGGAUUAGAUACCCCAGUAGUCCCUGUCUCUUAUAA